This 624-nucleotide long non-coding RNA is filed under the name Trifolium pratense (red clover). Its description in RNAcentral is "long non-coding RNA (TPRA_LNC005514)". The record is from RNAcentral. Lineage: Eukaryota; Viridiplantae; Streptophyta; Magnoliopsida; Fabales; Fabaceae.
UUUUCAUUAAUUAGGUUGAGGAUGACACUUAUGGUGAUUCUCCUUCUUAGAGAAGAGUUUUGAAAAUUUGUCUACUACCAUUGAUAAUUUGAUGUUAGAAGACAAAGAUGCUAUAAACAACGUUUCUUUUGUAUUAACUCUCCGGUUUUUAGGAGAAAUGAACUUUAGUAAUCUGAAAUUUGACCGGGAGCCGAGGUAAGUUAAGUCUAGUGAAAAGAGGUGUUGACAACUACAAUAUUUCAAAUAGAGGGGAUAUUGGUUUUUUUGGCUAAGCUAACUGCUAAGUAUAUGUGGUUUGUAGAUUAAAUGGUUGGUAUAUAUAGACAUAUUUUCAUGUAUAAAACAACAUAUAUAACAUACAAAAUUCACAUUUAAAACAUGAGAGAAAUAAGUGGGACAUUAAGUGUGCUUAUUCCUUUGUGUGUUCCAAGUUUGAACUAAAAAAACACGCACAAUUGGUCACUUGGACAUUCCUUCAAGUACAAGGUAGCNNAGAAUCAUUUUACUAAUUAAUAAGUGUGGACACGUUUGAAUAAAUAAAUUAAUUAGGACGUGCAACAAUGAAUUUAAAAUAAAUUAACAAUGAAUUGUUCCGAGUGAUAAGAGUCUUUGUCCCUUCAACUC